This 21-nucleotide microRNA is filed under the name Medicago truncatula (barrel medic). RNAcentral describes it as "mtr-miR156g-3p". Its record names the gene mtr-miR156g-3p. Lineage: Eukaryota; Viridiplantae; Streptophyta; Magnoliopsida; Fabales; Fabaceae. The record is from miRBase by way of RNAcentral.
GCUCUCUAGACUUCUGUCAUC